Long non-coding RNA from Delphinapterus leucas (beluga whale), 3111 nucleotides. RefSeq lists it as uncharacterized. Lineage: Eukaryota; Metazoa; Chordata; Mammalia; Artiodactyla; Monodontidae. The record is from RefSeq and is a predicted model, not a curated record.
UGAUGAACACUUACAACUAACCUUUUAUGCAUUUUAACACGUAGCUCGUCUUUUUAACAGACUUUUAGUGAAUACUCAUGCACGGGAGGCCCUGAACUGAAGAUUCUAGAAAAGGCCCAACGGGGAGAAGGGCUUGUACUAGGAAGUAGCGUAGCCUAGAGCGGACCUUUAGACAGCAUCUCGCUGGGCGUUGGGCAGACUCUUCUCAGAGCAAAGGGAACUUCUUCCCUUAGAACAGUGAGGACAGACGUCCUCCUGUCCUUCUGGGCACGAAGCUGUGUCAUGACUGCAGAGGCGGGGAGGGCAUGGUGGCCUCCUUCCAAAGUGUUUCGCAAGCCUCCUCUCAAGAUUAGACCCUGGGCCGCUGGUCGGGUUUCAAAUCCUAACUGGAAACAGAUUUGCUUUCUCUGCUUUGAUGAAGUUCUGCUGUUUUGUGGGGCUUUGAAGCUUAUUUUUUUGUCCUUAAAUUGCAUUAAUUAUUUUUGAAGUUUAUACUUUUGUUCACGAAGUCUCUGUGAAGGGCAUAACAUGCGUGUAGAUUCAAAUAAUUCAAAGGGAUGUGUCUGAUAGUUACUUUUAAUUGGUAGCAGGGGACGGCAUCCAACUUACUACAAACCUACAUGCUAUGGUUGAGAGCUAAUUAAACUUCCCCUUGAAGCUGGAAUUCAAAGCCUCACUCGUGGCCUGACGUGGUAUUAUCGGGGGAGAAUGUUUGUUUCAUAAUUUGAAACAAGAACCAGGAUCUUGUAUGAGGCCCAGUAUUACUUCCAUAUGAGGGGGCUGGACGGAAGGACAGAGCUGGACCCCUGAGUAGUGCCUCUGCCCUGGGGGCACUGGCCCCUGCACUGGGGGCUGCCCUGCCCUGGGCCCAGGGUGCAGCCGCCUGGUGAGGCUGGGAAGCCAUGAACAUGUCUGUGUGCCAUGUCCACGCGGCGACCGUGAAAGCAGGGGCCCAGGGGAUGGGGUGCGUCCAUGGUGCAGCCUCUGAGCAGAAACUGAAGGCCUGUGGGACCCGGCCCAGAGAGCUCCUAUCCUGGGGGCAGGACAAGUGGGUUGGGCUGGAGGAAGCUGGGGAGGGCGGGCAAUGACCUGGGGCUGCAGGCGUUUUGGGGACUCUAGCUCCUACCGGGAGGGAGGAGGGUGGGCACAGGGGGCUUCUUAGGGGGUGGCUGGGCCUGGCUCCCCAUGGAGGAUACACUAUGGGGGGCAUAAGAGCAAGACCUGCCAGGAGGCUGUGGCCAGUGCCCAGGGCGGCUGUAUGGGGACAGGGGGGCGAGUGCCUGGGUCCUGGGUGGGUUGGCAGGAGAGCUGAGAGCGUCUGCUCAUGGCUGGGUGGAGUGUGAGGGGGCUGCCAGGAGAAUCCUGGGGUUUCAUCUGGAGCCCCUAGAGGAGGGGCUGCCGCUUCCUGAGAGCAGGGGAGAUAUGGGGGACACGUAAUGAACGUGCUGGAGGGGCACCCAGAGUGGAUGUCAUGGAAAUGCACAUCUGGGGUCCCAGGGGAAGGAGCCAGGGGCAUCACGUGACCACCAGAAGGACACACCCAUGCGUCCCAGUACAGAGACCUAGGCGCUUGAACUCUGAGGCUGGGGACCAGGAGGAAAGGUCAGUGAGGUGAAGGGAACUGAGAAGAGGUGUCCAGCAAACCCAGGAGGCCUGGCACAGCCCUGUCAGCCCACCCAGGUUUUCAGAUCAGUGAUGUAUUUGGACGUUUCCUAUCACCUCUUAAAGUUCAAUUUGCUCUACGUUUUCUCAUUCAUUUUUCUUGCUUCUGCCUUUAUUCAGAUUGAUAGCAAAUGCUCACCUGACCAGAGGAGGGUUUAGUGGCUCUCAGAACCCCUGGUCUCCACGUCCUGGUCCCUCAUCUGUUGAAACUACCGGGAGUUCUUGUUCUGGCCAAAUGUGCAGACAGCCCGUGUUCCCCAACUGAUGCUCGGGUAAGCCGGGUGUGGCCCCCCUGCAGCGGGAUCCCCCAGCCGUAAAGAGGGACGGGCUCUGGUGAAACCCCGUCAUGGAUGAACCUCGAAAACAUCGUGGAAGAAGCCAGACACACAUUCCACGAAUGUGAAAUGUCUGGAACAGGCACAUCACAGAGGCAGGAACUUUGCUUGGGUCUGGGCCAUUGGUGUCUUUAAAGCCAGAGAGAAGCUCUGUUUCUCUUUCUCUUCACUGAAGGAAGAGCACCCACUUUUCCCAGCAUGGCUUGUGUGGCUGAUUUACAGAACCACCUGGAAAGAGAAAGGUCUGUCCGUGGGCUGUCCCUGCAGAGCCCCCGUCCCCCUCCAGGCUGUGGAGGCAGCACGGGGGCUGGGGGUCCAGGGUCCAGCCCCCGACGGUCAGAGAACCAGCCCAGCGCUCGGGGUACGGUCGCCGGAACAGAGGGUGGCGCCCAGAGCCCAGCCGCUGGGCUCGAUGUCUGCCUGGUUCUGGUGAGACACCGGCCUAACCAUCACGGCCCUGCAUCGGCUUUCAUCCUGGACAUCGGCGGAGGAUCUUGCGAGCCCUGGACAUUCUUCCUCACGAGUUGGUGCAGAUUCUGACCGUUUUAAGGGCUGCGUGGUGUCCUACCCGGUGGUGUGGUCACUGUGCUUCUUCCCUUUGGCGAGCAUUAGGGCGUUUCCAACUAUUUCAUCUAUUAAAAGCAGGGCUGCGAUGAGGACACACACGUGCACAUGCACACACGUGUGCACCCCCCAGGUGUGUCUGUAGGAAGAGGUCCCGUGGGCGGUGCCCCUGCUUCUCUGCGGAAUCCUGGGCCUGACGAGGCCACCACGUUCCGGCUCAAACACCCCCCCGGAUGAGCCCGCCUGCUGGGAGAAGGGGUCGCCAAGCCCUGAGGCCCCUUCCUUCUCUGUCACGUGUGUCCAGUGCCCGCCCAAGACUCGAGGCCUCAUCACCGAGAUCAACAGAACCCCCUGCCCCAACCUGAAUCAACCUGAUACGUCCAGGUUGCCCCCGUGGAGUCACGUGGGAAUGCCUCCCCUUCUAAGCUGGACUUGGAAGAUCCUCGGGGGCCCCCUUGGACCAGAGUAUUGCCCCGCACCCCCCUAGGCGUUUAGAAUGCUCAAUUCAUAAAGUUUCUAUUGACCACGUGAUAUGAAUAGGAUGCCGUGU